UACGAGUGGUGCGAGCGUUAUUCGGAAUUAUUGGGCGUAAAGGGCGCGUAGGUGGUGUGCUAAGUCAACUGUUAAAUUCUCCGGCUCAACUGGAGGUCAGCGGUAGAUACUGGCGCGCUAGAGGGUGAGAGAGAGAAGUGGAAUUCUCGGAGUAGCGGUAAAAUGCGUAGAUAUCGAGAGGAACACCAAUGGCGAAGGCAGCUUCUUGGCUCAUCUCUGACACUGAGGCGCGAAAGCGUGGGAGCAAACAGG
Molecule: ribosomal RNA, 252 nt
Filed under: uncultured bacterium
Lineage: Bacteria
Description: partial 16S ribosomal RNA
Rfam family: Bacterial small subunit ribosomal RNA
Source: RNAcentral